Molecule: long non-coding RNA, 1398 nt
Organism: Morus notabilis
Lineage: Eukaryota; Viridiplantae; Streptophyta; Magnoliopsida; Rosales; Moraceae
Exons: 3
Source: RefSeq, a predicted model, not a curated record
CAGUCAAAGCUCUCUCCCUCCGUUUAUCUUUCUUCUCUCUCUCGGACUCCCUCUCUCCGUUUAUCUCCUGCGAUUGUCGGCGGCGGAGUCCCCAAAAUCUAUGUUCUCUCGGCGUUAGUGGUUUUGCUCGUGUUAGCUGUCGAAGAGGCAUUUACCCGGCCAAGGAAGAAGAAAACCUCACUCAAUCCUCUCUUUCCACCAAAUUUCCAAAUUUCCCCAUGCAUUCUUAGGUUCGUGGAAGGAAGAUCGAUACCUGAUUUUGUGAAGACUGGGUAGUGGAAGGAAGAUCAAAGGCACGUGAAGCGCUCUUCCUACGCCAAGCUCGCUUACCGAAAGAGGUUCGCAUUUCUCUAUUUCUGUCUGUUUUUCAUUUAUGAACACUUUUUCCCCAAAUCUAAUGGUGCCCGCUCGUUCAUUUUGUCCCCUCUUGUGGUUUUUGGUCAGUUUAUACUAAGCUUUCUAAUUCCCAUACGAACAAGGCACAAAAAAAGCCCUAAAUUCCCUUCUGUCGAAGAGCCUUUUGUUUUUUCUCUUUUCUUGGAUGGGUUUUUUUGUUCCUUAAUGAGCCUCCUCAGCCCCUAUGACACCUCUGCGCCGCUCAACCCUAAUUGCCUUUCCAACACCACCUCGUCGCUGCCUCAAGAGCAGCGCCUUCUUUGGCCUCCCUUGGCGUCUGCAAUCAAGUCCAGCAUCGUCUGGGACAGCGUCUACUUCGUUCGAAUCACGUAGUGCGGCUACGAGUACGAGCAGUCCUAUGCCUUCUUGCCUCUGCUUCCCCUUUGCAUCUCCUUCUUCUCGCGAACAGUUUUUGCUCCAUUAGUUCCAGUUAUAGGGAAAAAACAAAAAACAUUAUGAGGAUUACGUUUGGAGACCCAUUUUCUAAAAAAUAAAAUUAAGACACCCAUUUUCGGAGGAUGAGAGGGCGUUUGAUUUUGAAGCAUGGAGCACCAGGGACCUGAAGGCGUUUGACAUUAAGCUAGCGUUUCUGAAGGAGCUAGGAUCCAUAUCCGCCGAGCUCUUGACCGGUUUCAAGCCUCCAAUGCCAAAGAAUCGAAAGAACUAAUAAGAAGGCCAGAGUCCUAUGGAAUAGUAUGGUGCUCUCAUUGUUAUGGUCUCUGUGGAUAGAACGAAAUGGCAUAAUUUUUUAAGAAAAGACGAUGGGGCCAAUUGAUAUUUUUGAGAAGGUAAAGUUCUAUGCAUUGCUAUGGGAUGCUUCAGGUUCCCGUUUACUUUGGUCAUUUUGAAUUGGAAAGAUGUAAUAGGGAAUUGAUUUGAGAUACCGUUUAUGUGUUUAUCUUGCUCUUUUUAUAUGUUAGUCAGUUUUUCACACCUGGCCAUUUUUGUUUCUUUUUGGUUUGAGGAUACCUUUAUCAUCUGCCCUUGUUAUUGAAUUUUAUC